GUCGGGCAUGGUGGCGUGAGCCUGUAAUCCCACCUACUUGGGAGGCUGAGGCAGGAGAAUUGCUUGAGCCUGGGAGGUGGAGUUGCAGUGAGCCGAGAUCGCGCUACUGCACUCCAGCCUGGGCAACAGAGUGAGACUCUGCCUCAA
Molecule: non-coding RNA, 147 nt
Filed under: Homo sapiens (human)
Lineage: Eukaryota; Metazoa; Chordata; Mammalia; Primates; Hominidae
Source: Rfam by way of RNAcentral